Cavia porcellus (domestic guinea pig) is the source of this 4115-nucleotide long non-coding RNA. RefSeq lists it as uncharacterized. NCBI's taxonomy places the organism in Eukaryota, Metazoa, Chordata, Mammalia, Rodentia, Caviidae. The record is from RefSeq and is a predicted model, not a curated record. The transcript is spliced from 4 exons.
GGCACAUAGCUUCUGGUAGAAAGUUUCCAAACACACAAUGUUAUUAUUAUUUCUGUCCUGGUAUUUCAAGUAUACCAGGUCAAAGACAAAGAGCCAAGGCUUUUUAAAAAUAAGGUUUAAUACCCGCAGGUUGAUUUCUAACCUCAGCUCAGCAGUGAGGACCGAUGAAGCAUUCACAUCCCUCUACCUUCUCAAAGGAUUAUGAAAUCUUACAAGAAGAAAAUCCACAGUAGUCACGUAAUUCUACUUCAGUGAUUAGUUCUGCUUUUCUGUCCUUUUAUUCCCUCAUUAAAUGCGUGUAUCCUGAGCAGCAGCUGUGCCAAGGAGACCUCCGAGAAAAAAGGAGUCGCACAGUGGUUGUGCUAGUGAGGUUCACACAACUGGGUCCCCCAUUCUGAUGAGCUUGGUGGAGGCUGCAAGCUGCAGAGCCUGAGACAAGGGUAUUUACAAUCACGUAUUAUGUUACACGGGGGGCUUUUUCUACAGCUCCUCAAAUGAUCUCACACUGACAGUUUCACUAAUAGUCACAAAUGCUUUGACCAUGCCGGGCAGCUCCGAGGACUGUUCAUCGCUGUUCCUGUAUACCGCUCCAGAUGUGAGUAGGGGUUACCUAACGACGUCAUCAGAAGGUGUGUUGGGGUCAAAAUGGACAUCAAAAUCUCUGAACUCUCUAAAGCAGACUCUUCAAAGGAAGCCAGUGCUCCCUGGGAUGAAGACAUUGAAAUUAGCGUGGUGUUUCCAGGAAGGUCAGCGGCACAGGAGGUUCCACAGUAACUACAGCAGUGCUGACACAGCUCGGGACUCUUCUCCAAGUUUGGAAUUUCUCUUACAGGAAGCAUAAGAGUCUGACUGCAUGUGCAGCCCAGCGUGGAUUGCGCAGUGUCUAUCACUUGCAUGGCACUUGCAUGGUAACCUCAAGGAACGAAGACUAGGAACUUAGGACUCUGGGAAGCCAAGCCAGCACCUCCCCUCCCUGCAAGCGGAGGCAGGGUGGCAGCCUGCAGCCCUUCCAGGGGGAGAACUAGCAGUGUCUCCUGAGAUCCACGCCAUGCUGGAACUUAGGACUCUGGGAAGCCAAGCCAGCACCUCCCUUCCCUGGUAAGCGGUGGUAGUUUAGCCCACUGCAGCCCUUCCAGGGGGAGAACUAGCAGUGUCUCCUGAGAUCCACACCAUGCUGGAACUUAGGACUCUGGGAAGCCAAGCCAGCACCUCCCCUCCCUGCAAGCGAAGGCAGGGUGGCAGCCUGCAGCCCUUCCAGGGGGAGAACUAGCAGUGUCUCCUGAGAUCCACGCCAUGCUGGAACUUAGGACUCUGGGAAGCCAAGCCAGCACCUCCCCUCCCUGGAACGAAGACUAGGCAAGACAUUUAUGGUUUAAUGGGCACAAGGAGAAACACAGUACAGAAGCUCUGUUCCCAGCAGGCUGUGUGGCCACCGCCUUGGGUAACAUGCUGAAUCAAAGCUGGGGACUCACUGCUUCAAGUCCCAGGAAGAAAGAAAAACACUGACAAAGAGUGACGAGGAAGGUGGAGCCAACUCAGCCACUGCCUGGAGCUGGGGACCUGUCUGGGGCAUAGAAGGACAAACUCCAUCGCACGUUGCCGUCUUCAAAACAGGUGCUCAGCUUACCAGAUACAGGCCUGCAAACAGGAAAUAACAGGGAGCAAAAGAAGAAAAGAAGCCUGCCUGGUGGGACCGACACUCUAACAGGACAGGUGAUGGGAGCACACACAGCCAGUGGUGAACACCACAGUGCAGAAACACAAAGGUGUGGCCCUGGAAGAUCACAAAUAUCCUGCUUUCCGUGAAUCCAAGAAUAAAGCCCCUUCAGAUGCACCCUGCUAUGAAGCAGAUGAGGAGAAGACCACACUGCAGCAUCCUCAAAUCCACAGCCUGUGCUUUGCUGCACCCCUUGCAAUCUGAUUUCUCUGUCUACUCCAUCAGGCUGAAUCCCACCCUGGUGGUGUAUUAGAUGAUACAAAUGCAGCUUGGCCAAGCUGAGGACUUUCCAUGGCCGGACCAUUAUGCUUCUGAUCACCCAUCAGAGCCAUGAUGUCUCCGAAGCAUGGCUGCUGGGUCAUCACCUUGCCUUUUCCCUGUUCGAUAUUUUUACCCACAUCUUGAUGAGGGCAUAGAUGUCAUGGUUAUCAAAUUUGCAAAUAACACCAAACUGAAAGGCAGAGCUAAUGUGUCACAUGACAGGAUUAGGAAUCAAAACGAUCUUGACAGGGCAGAACAACCAGAUAAAAACCGCAAAAUGAAGUGAACCAUCAGGCUAUGAUCGAAAAGCAAACAAAUAAACACACACACACAUGAAUAGGGAGACCAGGUACCAGAGGUCUCUAAUGAGGGAAGGAAAAAUUAGAGGCUUUAGUUGGUCUCCAAUUAAACAGUAGUCAACAUAUCGAUACAGCUGCAUAAAACAUCUUAGGCUGUGCCAUACAGCAUUACCUACAUGGGGAAAGGCAAUAUCAGUGGUGGAAGAGUACUCAUUUUGAGUCCCAUACUUAAGAAUAAUACUAAUUUUUUUAAGUUUUCAAAGAAAGGUGAUGGGAAAUGCAGCUGUCCUAUUAUAUAAGGAGUUGCUGGGGACCUGCCCACUAUAGGAAACGGCACUUAUGGAAAAUUAAUACAUAUUUCCGAGCUUUGUAAGUGGUUCCUACUGAUAAGAACACUUUGUCACUUCUAAACCUGUUAACUUAGGGCCUCAGCAAAGAACUUUGCCCUUUUAUGGCUCAGAGUAUUAUAUGUAAACGACAGCUAAUAUCAAUUCUUUGGGUUAUUAGAACGAUGAACAAAGACACAUUGUAAAUACGCAGUACUUUACCUGAACACAGCCCAUGCUCAAAGCGGGUGGGUAUCUUUAUUCUCACCUCCCUAAGAAGUAGAAGAGAACAGGUGGAGGAAGGAGGGGGCCCAUACCACAAAAGCAUAGAGGCUUCUGAAAUGUUUUGUUCCUUUCCAUGAAUUUGCCAUGUAGAUGCUGACUGACUGCCUGGGAAUUUGAGAAGAAAUUUUUCCUCUGAGUGAGCGUAGAACUAGAAAUUUUCUACAUUCCUUUCAGUGGAUAAUUUGUGAGCCCCUUAUAAAGGCAAGGUUUUUGAAGUUCUGAAACCCUCUAUGCAUGUGGGUCACAUGUCAGACCCUCAUAAAACUAGAAUCUAUGGAAACAGUUACAGUUAAGGUUGUCUUCCUGAUCUGUGCUUUCCUCCGGGACCCAUGCUGAGAGAUGGCUGCAUCCGUUACCUCUUUCCACAAAUGGGGAAAUGAGCAGAGACUGGAAAUUUACACAAGCUCCUCAGGGGCCAAGCAGAGGUUCAAACCCAAGCUUCUGAAGUGAAAGCCCGCCAGGCCCACAUGCUCAGCCCCCAGAUUGUCCUUCCCCCACUGAUGCAGCAAGGGGAUCCCAUCCUGAGAGGUUUGCAGACGCCCUGAGGUUUCUCCAUGACCACCACGCUGUCCUCCAAGUGCAUCUAAGUUAAAAUAAACUUGACGUCACAGUUGCCUCGGUGGGUGAGCUGAGAAGUGUGUUCUGCACAGUCAGGGAGUGUCAUGCUCCACUAAAACUCGCUCUGUGAACUGGUGAGGCUCUCCUUGGGCCCUGAUGUGUGUCCUACUCCUCCGUGUUGGGCAGCACUCACCCAGAGGUGGGUUCCCGCCCCGGUCUAGUGUGCUCUAAUUCACCUUGUCCUUACCUUGUCCUUACCACUCCAGGCCCACACUACUGAACAUGCACUUUCUGCCAUCAAUCAGCACUGUCCUCAGGGCCAACAACCGGGUGGACUGGACUCUCCAAAGAGUGGACCUCAUCAGCUGGAGGAGCUGCUCCCCCCAGGGGCCACGGCUCAGGAGCAGCCCUUGCUGUCUCCCUGGUUCCAGACGGGCGUAGGUGGGGGGACAGGAUGAAGGAUGCCUGGUUUUGUAAGGUGGAGGUACUGCUUACUCAGAGCAAAUCUCAGUGCCUGGCAAAGAAUAGAAAGGCACAGCACGGGAGUGGGCGCAUGGGAGGGAGCAGGAGAAACGAGCUGCUGAAGCCGCAGGGACUGGUGUUUAUCCAACGAGUGGGCUGCCGAGAGGAAGCAGGGGAAAUUGGUAGGAACAAGUGAGAAAGUUAAAA